CACCGCCNCACACNGNGGGUCAAUUGCUCCAGAAGUCGCUGUGCCAACCGCAAGGAGGCAGGCGCCCAAGGAGUGAUUGGUAACUGGGGUG
RNAcentral lists this ribosomal RNA (91 nucleotides) under uncultured bacterium. RNAcentral describes it as "partial 16S ribosomal RNA". The record is from RNAcentral.